Molecule: long non-coding RNA, 7174 nt
Filed under: Malus domestica (apple)
Lineage: Eukaryota; Viridiplantae; Streptophyta; Magnoliopsida; Rosales; Rosaceae
Description: long non-coding RNA (MDOM_LNC003502)
Source: RNAcentral
GGAUCAACAACAUCAACAAAUCCACACAUCCAGCCGUUCUUCAAGAUCAAGCCCAAAAGCCCUUGAAGAUCCAUUCAUCACCGUUAUUCAAGAUCAAACCUUAACGGCCCUUGAAGAAACACUCAUCCUCAAGAUCAAGCCCCAACGGCUCCUUGAAGAUCCGCUCAAAUCCACCUUCAAAGAUCAAGCCCACGACCCUUUGAAGAAACUUCCAACAGUUCAUCCAAGAUCAAGCCUCGACGGCCCUUGGAUCAACGAAACAUCCACAAAUCAACACCUUACGGAGAUCGAAUCAAAGGAUCAAAUUUGAGAGAGAUUGUAACCCAAAAUCAUCAAACACCAAAUAUUAUUUUGUGCACGUUGUUCUUGUCGUUUUCGUUUCAGGAAUUUUCCGUGUUCACAAAUUGGCACGCCCAGUGGGACAAUCUCUACCUCUCAUCUCUUUCUCCGUUCAAGGAAUCCAAAUACACCUCAAAGUCAAUGGCAUCAAGCAAGGGACAAGCCGUUUUCGCAACCACUGAGGGAAGGGUCCUAAGCACUUCUGCCAUAAAUGGACAAUCCAUUGGCGCCAUAACCGCUCCUCAACAUGUCACUUCAAAGUUUGUGUCGUUAAAGGAGCAAGGGGAGCAUCAAAGGCGCGAGUCCGUCAUCAACCUGACCUUGUUGGGGGCACCGAAGCAUGAUGCUGAGGCACACAAGAUGACAUCCCAAAGCAGCCAACGACGUUCUUCAUCAGCAUCCUGAAUGUCUAAAGGAAAGUCACGUCUAUUGGUCGCACAAGUCAUGACCAUCGGCGUUACCUCCAUCGAAGAACAACUGGCUCAAAUGAAUGAAGCAAUCGCAAGGCUAACCCGAACUGUGGAAGAAAAAGACUUGCAAAUCGCUGCACUCGUCAGUCGACUAGAGCCACAGGACGGCGAGAACCUAACCUAGAAGAUGAGCCUACGGUGGAGAGAAUCGAUGUGAAGCCGGAGCCAGACCAAGAAGCGGCACUCAUGAGAUCUCUUUCUAUCCAGCAGUUGCAAGAGAUGAUUGCCAGCACCGUCAAGGCACAGUACGAAGGGAGCUCAAAUACCUCCGGGUUGUACUCAAAGCCUUAUUCAAAGAAGAUUGAUGCCCUAAAGAUGCCGAGGGGAUAUCAACCACCAAAGUUCAUGCAGUUUGAUGGAAAAGGAAACCCAAAGCAGCACGUUGCACAUUUCGUCGAAACUUGCAACAACGCGGGGACGGAGGGAGACUACCUCGCCAAGCAGUUUGUGCGCUCGCUGAAAGGAAACGCCUUUGAGUGGUACACGGACCUAGAGCCUGAGUCCAUCAACAGCUGGGAGCAAUUGGAGCGGGAAUUCCUCAACCGCUUCUACAGCACCCGCCGCACUGUGAGCAUGCUAGAGCUAACGAGCACAAAGCAGUGGAAGGACGAGCCAAUCAUUGACUACAUCAACAGAUGGCGCACUCUAAGCCUCGACUGUAAAGACACGCUCUCGGAAACCUCUUCAAUCGAGAUGUGCAUCCAAGGCAUGCAAUGGGGUUUGCAAUACAUCCUUCAAGGCAUUAAACCACGGACCUUUGAGGAAUUGGCCACCCGCGCCCAUGACAUGGAGUUGAGCAUCGCCCAUCAUGGGAAGAAGGAACUGAUCGCCGACUACAAGAACGACAAAAUUCUUGAGACAAAGGUGAAGAAGGCUACGUGGAAAUCCACCAAGGAAGCAAUGACAGUCAACACAUCUCCCGUCAAAAUCCCUACACGAGGCAAGGCGAUUCAAGCUGAAGCUUUUCGUGAUCAAGAAAUGCGUAGAUGCACUUUGAAGGAGCUUGAGGAGAAAACUUAUCCAUUCCCCGACUUUGAUGUGGUUGCCAUGUUAGAAGACUUGCUAGAAAAGAAUGUGAUCGACUUGCCUGAGUGCAGACGGCCAGAAGAGAUGAAUCGCACCGACAGUCCAAGGUACUGUAAAUUCCACCGCUUUAUCAGUCAUCCGACAGAAAAGUGCUUCGUGCUGAAAGAUCUCAUCAUGAAGCUGGCUCAGAAAGGAAUCAUCGAGCUAGAUCUUGACGAUGUGGUGAAGUCAAACUAUACCACCAUCACUUCUGGCUCUUCGGACUCAAAGUUUUUACCUCAACCUCCGGGGGCAUCCUCCAAGACAAGCAAAGUUGAAUGAUGGACUCAAGUCACUCCUAAGAAAUUGCACAAAAAGCAUACGUCUCCUUCACAAGUUCGCCAAUCGGAAAGAGGGCAAAUCAGCUAUUGUCAAACUUCAAAGCAACGUGAACGUGUUGAAAAUGAUGAAAUUGCGACACAAAGAUCGUCCAUCCCCAUCACAAUGCGCGAUUUCUUGCCCGAAGACUUCUUCAAUCACUCGGUCAAGGCUCCUUGCUAUGAAGAUUGUGAGGAACGCUUCUCCAAAAUUGCUUGACAAAAUUCACAAAUUCUCCUCGCCCACACGAGUCUAAACUGCAUAGCACAAAGCUCCUGGUCUGCACGAGCAUAAAAGGCAACACCAAUGCUCCUUGUUCGCACGAGCCUAAACUGCACGAACCAAUGCUCCUUAUUCGCACGAGCCUAAACUACAUGAACCAAUGCUCCUUGUUCGCACGAGCCUAAACUGCACGAACCAAAUCUCCUUGUCCGCAUGAGCCUAAACUGUAGGACACGAGGCUCCUCGCCUACACGAGCCUAAAUUGCAUGGCACAACACUCCUGGUCCGCAUGAGCAUAAAAGGCAACAUCAACGCUCCUGAUCCGCAUGAGCAUAAAAGGCGAUACCAACGCUCCUGGUCCACACGAGCCUAAAAUGUGACAACCAAAGCUCUUGGUCCCCAUAAGCAUAAAAGGCAACACCAACGCUCCUGAUCUGCAUGAGCAUAAAAGGCGAUACCAACGCUCCUGGUUUGCACGAGCAUAAAAGGCGACACCAAAGCUCAUUGCCUGCAUGAGCUGAAACUGCAAGCAGCACCAAAAACACUCAUUGCUUGCACGAGUUGAAACUGCAAACGUCAUCGAGAUGCUCCUGGCCCGCAAGAGCAUAAACCGCCAAAAGCAAUCCAUCACCCAUUUGAACUACGUUAUGACUUGAUCCCUCAUCAACAGAGGAUACGUAGGCAACUUGAAGCGUCAAAACUUCAAGUACAGUCACACCGUCUAAAAAAAAAUAUAACACUUUGAAGAAAGAAGAGGUCGGACAAAUCAAGAUCAUAGAAGUGCAAGAAAGGAGUUUCUACAAAGCGAAAAUUCAAGUGUGCUUUGAAACGAACUGCGUGCCUCUAUAAAAAUCAGCACUCGACGGGAUUUCAGAGAUCGAAGAGGCAAGCUCAGAAUUCAAAGAGGCCAAUUCAAAAAUCGAAGAGGCAAGCUCAGAAAUCAGAUAGGCAUCUUGCUUUUCCAGACGUGUCAGCACCCGUCACACGUAAACUCAGUUUUGCGGAAAUCACAGGCAAUUUGUCGAAACGCCGAUCCUAGAUAUCGAAGAGGCGCUAGCCUUUUUUAGCCUCGUUAACACCUGUCACAUGCACACUCAGCUUGGCGGAAAUUACGGACAAUUUGUCGAAGAUUUCUGAUAAAGAAGAAAGCACGUGAAGCCAUACUGAUCAAUCACGCAUUGGUUGCCGACACAAGUGAAAGAAUAGUACCUCUACAGGUAUUAAAAGACUUCAUAUAACUAUCCACCUUCACCCUCCAUAGCAAGGCAGACAUACAGAACCUUUCUUCAUCUCUGAGAACCUUUCUUCAUCUCCGAGAAUGCCUUCCCAACGAAGCCUCUCGAGUCACUCAGUGUUUCUUAUUCCUUGGGGUACAUCUGCAAACAAAUGACACCAAAGCAAAAGUAUCUCAUAUCACCAGGGUAGAAAGCAAGAAUAUCUCAUAUCAUGCUUUCUCCCCGUCUUUUCCUUUGUCAUUGUUCUUACCUGCAAAGACAAGGAUAAAUAAAACAAUAUGUCUGAACCUCCACUCAAACUCGGGUAAGGAAUCGACUACCUGGAACCUUUGCCUGAUUGCUUACAUGGUAUUACUCUCGAGUACUCGUCUUCCACUGCUGCUGUACUUCCAAAGAAGUUGCCAGAUCUGCCUGGAGAACAGAUAAGGCAAGUGAAAAUGAUACCUUGCAACAUGUGGAGACAACGUGCAGAAGGAACAAGCAGAGAAGAAUGUGGUCUGCACAGUCAACUCAGCAGAAGGAGUCCGAGUUGAGGAACUCAAGAAGCUGCCACAUCUGCCUGAAGAAACAAACAAAGAAAAAUACAGCAUGCACAGUCAACUCAGCAGAAAGAGUCUGAACUGAGGAACUUGAGAAGAUGCCACAUUCUGCCAGAAGAAUAGAUAAGGCAAGAGAAAAUGAUACAUUGAAGCAUGUGGAGACAAGCAGAACAAAGCACGUGCCGAUUCAUCCGCUACUUCUUCAAAAUCAAAAGUAUCUCAUAUCAUCAGGGUUGCAAUCAUUCUGGACGGUGAAUUCGUUUUGACCCUCAAAUUCUUGGGUCGGCUUACUAGGCGUUGUGAGCUGCACGUGUCGAUUCACCACCCUUGAAUCAAAUCCUUAAAGAUCAAGUCACCAACUGGAAGAAGAGCCCAUCAAUCUUGAAGAUUAUACCGUUGACUAAACUGCUCAGGUGUGAAUUAGAAAGAUUGAACAAAGCAACAAGUCGUCACCUUCACCUCGUGCCUGCUUGCCAUGUGUUCGAGUCAACCUUCAAGAAUCAAGCCUCAACGGCCCUUGAAUAAGCUUCCAGCCAAAUUCAAGAUCAAGCCUCGACGGCCCUUGAGGAAAUCACAAGUCUGAUUCAAGAUCAAGUGUCUACCACCCUUGAAUCAAAACCUAGUUCAAGAAUAAGCUGUGGAAAAUCAACAAUUUGAGGAAUCCAGAAAAUCUUCCAAUCCAGUUCAAGAUUAAAGCUGUGGAAAGUCAACAAAGCGCAAAAAACAAAUACGUGCCGAUUCAUCCACUACCAAAGCCAAAGAUCAUCUACCACAUGAAGCUCCUUGUGGUCCAAUUUCAACCUUCAAGAUCAAGCCUCGACGGCCCUUAAAGAAAUUUCAAACAAAAGUUCAAGAACAAGCCUCAACGGCCCUUGAAGAAAUCUCAAGCCCAAUUCAAGAUCAAGCCUCAACGGCUCUUGAAGAAAUCUCCAGCCCAAUUCAAGAUCAAGCCUCGAUGGCCCUUGAAUCGACAUCUGCAGUAAGGGACUUCAAAACGCAUCUCCUACACGUGACAAACACAUGUAUACGACGCACCUUGAAGUGGGGGCAUUUGUAGACAUCGAAAUUGCAGUGAAAUAAAUGUUCACCAACGCAUUGAAAUUUUGACGUGUCAGGGCAUACAUGGCAUAUGCCACAUGUCAUACAAAUUGUACACAUGGUGUGUGACUCAACAAAAUAAGAAGAAAUACCCUUGGAGGAUUACAUAAGUUUUUCUUCUCAUUUUGGGCAAUGACAAGGCAAGCACAUUUCAAUCCAUUGAAGAUCAAAACAAGGUUUUCUUCUCAUUUUGGGCAAUGACAAAGCAUGCACAUAUCAAGUUUAAAAUGAUAUUAAGUGGAAAAUUAGGCCAUAAAAUUACCACUUCAAGUUUAAAAUUGUAUUAAGCGGGAAAUUAGGCAAUGGUGCUUGGAAAAGAAAAAAAUAUUUUGUGGUGGUGAUUCAUUAUCAAAGCCUAUAAAUAGGCUUCUACAUCAAGGUAUCAAAAAACCAAUUCACAAAUACAUUUCUCUACUCCCAAAAUGGAAGAGAAUACUCCCCACACAUCCAAAAUCCUUGAAGCUUUGAAACUCUAAAGCUUUCAAGCAUCCAACCUCCCAAAUUCAAGCAAAUCCCGAAGGAUCAAGAAAGCCUUCUUCGUUCUUCGUCAAAUCCUCCUUCAAGAUCAAGCCCUAACAGCCCUUGAAGAAAUUUCUCCUUCAAGAUCAAGCCCCAACGGCCCUUGAAGAAAUUCCACUAAUUCAAGAUCAAGCCUCGACGGCCCUUGAAGAAAGUGUUCAACAAAUCCACACAACUGUUCAUCCUAAGAUCAAGCCCCGACGGCCCUUUUGGAUCAACAACAUCACCAAAUCCACAUAACUGUUCAUCCUAAGAUCAAGCCCUUGAAGAAAUUUCUCCUUCAAGAUCAAGCCCCAACAGCCCUUGAAGAACUUCCACUAAUUCAAGAUCAAGCAUCGACGGCCAUUGAAGAAAAUGUUCAACAAAUCCACACAAUUGUUCAUCCUAAGAUCAAGCCCCGACGACCCUUUUGGAUCAACAACAUCACCAAAUCCACAUAACUAUUCAUCCUAAGAUCAAGCCCCAACAGUCCUUUGGAUCAACAACAUCAACAAAUCCACACAAUUGUUCAUCAUAAGAUCAAGAACUGUUCAUCCUAAGAUCAAGCUCCAACGGCCCUUUGGAUCAACAACAUCAACAAAUCCACACAAUUGUUCAUCCUAAGAUCAAGCCCCAACGGCCCUUUGGAUCAAUAACAUCAACAAAUCUACACAACUGUUCAUCCUAAGAUCAAGCCCCGACGACCCUUUUGGAUCAACAACAUCACCAAAUCCACAUAAAUGUUCAUCCUAAGAUCAAGCCCCAACGGCCCUUUGGAUCAACAACAUCAACAAAUCCACACAACUGUUCAUCCUAAGAUCAAGCCCCAACGACCCUUUUUGGAUCAACAAUCAUCCACCAAUUCAAGAUCAAGCCCCAACGGCCCUUGAAGAAAGUGUUCUUCAUUCUUCGUUCAUCGUUCUUCCAAGAUCAAGCCCCGACGGCCCUUGGAUCAACAAUCCACCAAUUCAAGAUCAAGCCCCAGAGGCCCUUGAAGAACUUCCACCAAUUCAAGAUCAAGCCCCGACGGCCCUUGAAGAAAGCACCAUCGUUCAUCAUCCGUUCAUCCAAGAUCAAGCCCCGACGGCCCUUGGAUCAACAACAUCAACAAAUCUACACAUCCAACCGUUCUUCAAGAUCAAGCCCAAAAGCCCUUGAAGAUCUGUUCAUCACCGUUAUUCAAGAUCAAACCUUAACGGCCCUUAAAGAAACACUCAUCCUCAAGAUCAAGCCCCAACGGUUCCUUGAAGAUCCGCUCAAAUCCACCUUCAAAGAUCAAGCCCACGGCCAUUUGAAGAAACUUCCAACAGUUCAUCCAAGAUCAAGCCUCGACGGCCCUUGGAUCAACGAAACAUCCACAAAUCAACACCUUACGGAGAUCGAAUCAGAG